AACGAACGCUGGCGGCAGGCCUAACACAUGCAAGUCGAACGAGAAGCCACCUUCGGGUGGUGGACAGUGGCAGACGGGUGAGUAACGCGUGGGAACGUGCCCUUCGGUUCGGAAUAACCCAGGGAAACUUGGGCUAAUACCGGAUACGCCCUCCGGGGGAAAGAUUCAUCGCCGAAAGAUCGGCCCGCGUCGGAUUAGCUAGUUGGUGAGGUAAUGGCUCACCAAGGCGACGAUCCGUAGCUGGUCUGAGAGGAUGACCAGCCACACUGGGACUGAGACACGGCCCAGACUCCUACGGGAGGCAGCAGUGGGGAAUAUUGGACAAUGGGCGCAAGCCUGAUCCAGCCAUGCCGCGUGGGUGAAGAAGGCCUUAGGGUUGUAAACCCCUUUCAGCGGGGAAGAUAAUGACGGUACCCGCAGAAGAAGUCCCGGCUAACUCCGUGCCAGCCGCCGCGGUAA
RNAcentral lists this ribosomal RNA (459 nucleotides) under uncultured bacterium. Its description in RNAcentral is "partial 16S ribosomal RNA". It matches the Rfam family "Bacterial small subunit ribosomal RNA", at positions 29 to 523 of the family's 1533-position model. The record is from RNAcentral.